AGCGGGCCCUUCGGGGUGUCCGGCGAGUGGCGAACGGGUGAGUAAUGCAUCGGAACGUACCCGGGAGUGGGGGAUAACCGGCCGAAAGGCUGGCUAAUACCGCAUGAACUCGGAAGAGCAAAGCGGGGGACCUUCGGGCCUCGCGCUCUCGGAGCGGCCGAUGUCCGAUUAGCUAGUUGGUGAGGUAAAGGCUCACCAAGGCGACGAUCGGUAGCGGGU
Molecule: ribosomal RNA, 219 nt
Filed under: uncultured bacterium
Lineage: Bacteria
Description: partial 16S ribosomal RNA
Rfam family: Bacterial small subunit ribosomal RNA
Source: RNAcentral